UGUAGGAAUCAGUCCCAGGCAGGACAGAGCAUGGACAUGAAGGUCCCGACUCAGCUUCUCAGCCUCCUGCUGCUGUGGCUCCCAGGAGCCAAAUGUGACAUCCAGAUGACCCAGUCUCCAUCCUCUCGGUCUGCAUCAGUGGGAGACAGAGUCACCAUCACUUGCCGGGCCAGUCAGAGCAUUAACAAUUAUUUAAGCUGGUAUCAACAGAAACCCGGGACAGCUCCUAAGCUCCUGAUCUAUUAUGCAUCCAGUUUGCAAACCGGUGUCCCUUCGAGGUUCAGUGGCCAAGGAUCUGGGACAGAUUUCACUCUCACCAUCAGCAGCCUACAGCCUGAAGAUGCUGCAACUUAUUACUGUCAACAGUAUCAGAGUUACCCUCUCACAGUGUUAUAAGCCUGAACAUAAACCACGAAGCACACAGCUAAGAGUCGGCCACCCCAGCUGCUCCUCUUCGGUCUCCAUCCGCCGAGAGCAUUUCUCAGAUGCACCCACUCUUUGAUGGUGACUGGAGGUUUUGUUAGAAGUGUACAGAUAGGCUCCUCUGCACCUUAACUCUUUUUGUCUCUCCUCAGCCUCAGUAGCACAUACAAUACCUCUCUUGAUUUCAUAAAAAACAGAGAUCAUCACACAUUAGCUAUCUGGGCUACAGUACCAGUCAGAGUUUAUAGAGUGAAAGAGAAGCCAAUCUAGGCAUUCCAAGCAGGAAUUGCUUAAUUAGGGAGUUAACCUCUAAAGUACAUUGUUUUGAAGGCCUAGGGAAUUAAUAAUAGGGGGAGCAGAUAUUGGAAAUGUGGGAUUCCCUGGCGCUCC
This is a non-coding RNA of Hipposideros armiger (great roundleaf bat), 813 nucleotides long. The record is from the annotation of a RefSeq genome assembly. Lineage: Eukaryota; Metazoa; Chordata; Mammalia; Chiroptera; Hipposideridae.